Cavia porcellus (domestic guinea pig) is the source of this 329-nucleotide unclassified non-coding RNA. Its record names the gene 7SK. It matches the Rfam family "7SK RNA". From Rfam's summary of the family: 7SK was discovered as an abundant small nuclear RNA in the mid-70s but a possible function has only recently been suggested. Two independent studies have found that 7SK RNA binds the CDK9/cyclin T complex (known as elongation factor P-TEFb). The record is from Ensembl. Lineage: Eukaryota; Metazoa; Chordata; Mammalia; Rodentia; Caviidae.
GGAUGUGAGGGCGAUCUGGCUGCGAAAUCUGACACCCCAUUGAUCACCAGGGUUGAUUCGGCUGAUCUGGCUGGCUAGGUGGGUGUCCCCUCCUCCCUCAAUGAUCCAUGUGCAUCCCUCCCGAAGCUGCAUGCUCAGUCGAAGAGGAUGACUACCCCCGAUUGAGGAGGACUGUUCCUCAGUCAAGGGUGUACGAGUGUAGCUGCGCUCCCCUGCUAGAACCUCCAAACAAACUUUAAUAUCUAGCAACUUGCUUUUACUUAAAACGAUAGAAUUUUCCAGGUUUUUUCUACCACAUGUUACACUUACUGACUUUGAUGUGUACACAU